This 10706-nucleotide long non-coding RNA is filed under the name Jatropha curcas. Its description in RNAcentral is "long non-coding RNA (JCUR_LNC000301)". The record is from RNAcentral. Lineage: Eukaryota; Viridiplantae; Streptophyta; Magnoliopsida; Malpighiales; Euphorbiaceae.
UGCAACCCUUUCUGUUGUUACAGAAGUUAGGGAAAUUACCGACGGCAAUGGCUAUACACUGAGCACAGUCUACAACAGCCAAGUCUCUUGUACAUUGCGCUAAUGCAUAAAGUGUAACCAAAGGUGUCAACUUUGUCUCCCCUUUACCAAUCCCUUUACUCUUUUCCAUUACAGCUUCUGAUCUAAUUUCAUCAAUCAAAUUCCCCAAUUUUCGGUUAAAAGCUUCAGGGUCUAUCACCGUAACAUUUUCAACGUUGAUGUAAAAAAGAGCAUAAGAAGUAUCAAGCUUUCCGAUAAAAUCUUUAUUGCUAUACCUUAAAAAGCAAUAAUCAUACCAAAUUCUUGCAUCAACUUGAUUCGGACAGCGCUGGCCGAUUUCUUUGGCAGCGUCAAGGAGGCAGCCGGAGCAGUCGUCGGUGCUAACAUCACCUCUGCAUUGCGCUAGGCCGUAUAUUUUAUCUUGGCCUUGGCCGGAGGUGGUGGUGAAGUAACCGGAAGAAGAAGCUUUUGAAACUAGCUCGGUUAUUAAGUGGUUGAUAUUUUGGAUGGUAGUUUUAUUAUUAGUUUGUUGAUCAUUGCAUAAAUUACCUAAAGGAUCUUGACCAUUGCAGUUGGUGGUGCACAGAGAUAAUAUGAUGAGAAGAAGAAUUGUGUAAGUCAUAGUGUGUCUGUAAUGCAAUAUUCAGAGAUGAAGAUGAAGGUGCGUAUGCUAGUAAAGGUGGUCUCCUCUUAAUGUCAGUGCAAGUGGGGAUAUGCAUGCGGAUAUUGUUGACUUAAUACAGUAAUAUUUAAAAUAGCUCGUCACUUAAAGACUAUGAACAGCAAGUGGAGGACAGGGAUGUUUCUACUUUCUAGAAAGUCUUUAGAUGAAUUAUCAUCCGUGCUCUCUCUCUCUCUCUGAAAUUUUUUUAAAAGAUGAAAUCAUGAUUAGUGUAAUGGAUUACAUAGCAACAUAGGAUUAAUUCAAACAUAACCCUUUUUUUUAUUUCCUUCUAUCUUUGAAUUUGAUGUCUCGAUUAAACCUGAUCUAUGCGUGCUACAAACAGUCGCUUAUAUCCUCAGCUUGGCAAUAUUUAAAUGGAGGAAAUUUAUUAUUUUUUUAUCUUAAACUUUUGUUUCUUUCUUUAAUUACUUAAAAUUUAGUCACUGUAUUGUAUUAUAAAUUCUUACCCUUUUUUUUAAAGUUAAUUAGAGUAUGAAUAAGGAUUCGGUCUGUUUGGUUCGAUAAAAUUCAAAUAAAUCAAAUAUUUUUAGAGAAAAUAGAAUCAAAUCAAAUUGUUUAUAAAACCGAACCAAAGAAGUUCGUUCAGCUUGAUAUUCUUAUUAUUUUAAUUUAAGUUUUAGAUUUAAUCAAUUUGACCUUAACUAAAUAAUAAUAACAGAACAGAGUCCAAAAAAUUUUAAUUUAUUAAAAAUAAAGUCAACCUAAAUUUUUAAUUUAACCAAAUCGAAUUAAACUGGUCAAUUUAAUUGAUUUUUCCGAAUUCAGCCAUACGUAUUUCAUAAAGGCAACACCUAAUAAGUCAUGAUCAUAUCUUACGCUAAUGUCUAUGUACAAGCUUGCACACAAAAUCACCGAGAUGAAUUGGUACUCUUGGUUGACCUAUUAAUUCUCCUCUUCAGGAUGGAGUAAUAGAUUUUGUCAAACAUGAAAUUCUUUCAUUCCUAUCCAUGGUUGUUUCCAAAAGUUAACAAAAGGAUAUAUAAUUAUUAUUAUCUCAAUUUCUUAAUACUUAUCACAUUUGAAAUUUCACGUAUUCUAAAAAAAUUAUUAAGUUUGUCUUAAUUACAAUAAAUUAUUGAGUAAAUUGAUUAUAUUACCCUUAAUUAAAUAUAUCCAAACACUAAAUUUAAACAAUAAUUAUUGAUCAUAUACAGAGGGUAAAUAUGAAAAAAAAAGUUAAUACUUUUUAAAAUCACAAAUGUAAUAAGUAUUUUAGAAUAUAAUAUCUUUUCAAAUGUGAUAAGUAUUUAAGAACCGAAUGUAGCAACGUGAUUUAACUAAUCAUUUAUCUUCAAUUAAUUUGAUCAUGAGUUAGUAAUCAAAUUUGAGCCAAUCAAAUCUGACCGGCCAAUUGGUUAGCUCAUGAACAUAUUGACUAUUGGUCCAGUUUGAUUGAUGAAAAGAACGGAAAAAGUAAAAAAUUGGGUUCAAUGAUUAAAAAACCAAUUAGAACCAGCUCAUCUGAAAAUUAAUAAUUGGUUUAAAUGAUGAAUCACUUGAAAAUUAUUAUAUUUAAAUUUUUUUUUCAACAAUAUAUUUAAAUUGUUACAAUUUAUGUUGGAUAUUUCUAUUAUUAUAUUUAACAUAUAAUAUUUGAUGUAAAUGAUAAAUGGUUUUAAAAUAAGUAGUUUCAGAUUGAUUUAACCCAGGUGUUUGCCAUGGGUCAAUAUUUAUAUUUUUAUGUAUGGAUUUUAAUCAAAAGAAAAUAGAUAAUCUCUGAUUCAUUUUUCAAUAAGAGAGCUACUAUUUAUUUAUGUUAAUUAUUACAAGAUUCUGAUUUUUUUUAAAAAUUCCAGAAUUUAUUCCACCCUCGAGAGAGAAUACAAAUAUCAUAAUUUGAUAUCAUGUAUGAAAAAAUUAUUCAAUUUUUGCACUUUAAAAUUUGCUUUUAAACCAUAAAGUUUAAUUUGUUUCAUUAUUAAAAAUUAAAUAUAUCAAAUAUAAAAAUGUAUAUUAAAGAAAACAGAAUCAACAUAACAGUUUAAUUGAAAAAUAAAUCGAACUAAUUUUAAACCGAAUAAACUGAAUUAAAUGCACUUACUCUUUACUCAAUAGUACAAUAGUUUGAUUCCAAAACUAUCUUAUAUUCUAUAACUAAUAAUUAAAGAUCAUUUACAGAUUUUUAAUUGACAAAAGCAUAUAUGGAUAUUUAGACAAGUAUCUAGGGGUUCCUUUAUUUUAUGGGCGGUCUUCUGUGGCGCUGUAUCAGGACAUUAUUCAGAAGGUGGAGGUUUGUUUGGCAAAUUGGAGGUCCCAUUUUCUUAGACCUACCGGUGAGGAAGUUCUUAUUGAAUCUUAUGUUUCUUCUUCACCUGUUUAUACUAUGCAAACUGUAUGGUUACCUUCUUCUAUUUGUGAGACUAUUGAUAAGUUGUCUCGUAAUUUCUGUUAGGGGUCUAUGGUGGAGCAUCGUAAGAUGCAUUUGGUUGGAUGAAAUUGGCUUAUUAAGCCUAAAAAGUUUGGGGGUUUGAUUUCCAGAGUGCCCGAUUGUUUAAUGUUACUAUGUUGGGUAAGUUGGGGUUAGAAGAUUUUUAUGCAUGACUCGGCUCCUUGGGUCCAUGUUUUGAUACAUAAAUUUUGUCAUGGUUGCUCUUUUCUUCCAGUCUUGUAGGGUUGUGAUUCUUGUACUUGGAAGGAGAUUAUUCGUAAUUUCCAUUAUCUUCAGUCUCAUGUUUCUUGACGGGUAGGGGAUGGUCGACUAAUUAGUUUAUGGUAUGAUUCUUGGUUGCCUGUGGGUCCUUUGGUGGAUUUGGUAGAGUCUAUUUAUAGGGGUGAGGAGCAUCUUCGGUGGCAAUCUUAUUCAUAAUGGUUCUUAGAAUCUUUCUGUGUUACGUAUUUGUCUUCCUGAUGAUAUUAAGUGCUUAAUUUAUACGGUUCCUCUUUCUUUUCGUUACUUCUAUUCAGGAUUUCAUUUUGUGAAUUUUUUCUUCUAAUGAUGAGUAUUCUGUUAAAACAGCCUAUUUAUCUUUAUUAUUGGAGGAGGUGCAUGUUGGUAUUGAUUUUGUUUUUUUUUUCUCAUGGAUUUGGUCUAUUGAUAGUUUGCCUAAAUUGAGAUAUUUCCUUUGGCUGAUUCUGUAUAGCCAUUUGCCGACUAAUUCUUUUCGGUUUCAGAGAGAUAUAACGCUUUCUAGUCUAUGUAAUUUAUGUUCUAUGGAGGUGGAGUUUCUGUUGCAUCUUUUUCGUGAUUUUGUUGUGGUGUGGGAAUGGUGGUAGCAGUGGAGUUUGCCUCCUAAUUUUUUUGGGGUGGAUGAUGUUGUGUUGUGGUUGCGUUUAAAUUUAUUCUUGCACAUGCCUGGUCCCUUUGGUAUCUCCUGGCAUCAUUGAUUUUUAGCUGCUAUUUGGUGGGUUUGGAAAGCGAGAAACUUGUAUGUUUUUCAAAAUGAACUUCUUGUUGUUUCUGCUUUAAAUCGUUGUAUUUUUAAAGUAGCUUUGGAUAUUGUGAAUUCUUCUACUCUUGCUGUUUCUUCGGCUAGAGUUAGUAGGCAAUUUUGUGUGGCUUAGGUUAAGCUUCAGGAGAGUUGGUUGAAGUUAAAUUGUAACGGUAGUAGUCUUACUAAUCCGGGGUUGACUAGUAGUGGUGAUGUGUUCCGUGAUUGCUUGGGGAGGUGGCUUAGAGGCUAUUCUCUUAAUAUUGGUCACUCUACUAUUUUAGUUGGUGAGUUGUCCUCAAUUCGGACAGGGGUUAUUCUUGCUUGGGACUGUGGUUUCCGUAAGGUUGUUGUUGAGUUUAAUUGUUUAGAGGUUGUUAGGCUGGUGAAUUCAGGGUUAUCUAUUGCUCAUCCUUUGUCUGUUCUUAUUUUGGAUAUUCAGAACUUGAUGACUCGUGAUUGGGAGUGUUCUAUCCAUUAUGUGUUUUGUGAAGCUAAUUCUGCUGCUGAUCAUUUGGCUAAGUUGGGGCAUGUCAUCCCAUCUUCUUUAUUCAUUUGGGAAGCUAGUCCCAGUUCCUUGUCUUUGAUUCUUUAGGCUGAUGCUUGUAGCAUUGACUUUUUGAAAUAGGUUUCUGCUUUUUGUUCUGCUCUUCUUUUGCCACAAAAAAAAAAAAAAAAAAAUUAGAGUCAAUAAUUACAAGAUUAUAAGUUUAAUAUGGUUAUUGACCCAAAUUUCACAUUAUAAUAGAAUAUCAUUGUACAAUAAUGAAAUUUCCUAUUCUUGUCUCUCUCUUGAUCUUAUAUAAAUGGUUGGUCGCAUUGUACAAAACCAUUCAAGUGAAAUACGUGCAAUAAUACUGAGUUUGGUUAUGGAUAAAUUUUUUUAAAGAAUAAAUAAUAAUUGUAUUUAAUUAAUUUUAUGUACAAUAAUACUUUUAAUUUAUGUAUCUUUACUGAUAUUCUAAAAUUUUAUGGUACAAAUACUAAUUCAAUAAAUUUUUUUCUGUUAAUGAAUUAAUAGGAAAUAAAAAUAUUUUCCAAAAAAUAAUUAAUAAAUAUAACAUAAUAAGAAUUAAAUUGAAUUAUGAAAAAAAGCUUUGGCUCCCCUCUGUACAAAUAUGAAACAUGAAAGUUCAAAAAAAUCUGAUGAAAAUUAUUUAAUGAAAUGCUUUUAUAAUUAAAGAUCAUAAUAUUUUCAUUACAUAGGAAAGCAAUUUUCCCACCUUUUUGGAUGGUAAAGUACUUCCCGUGUACAUAUAGAAGUAGAUGUUAUAUACGCGCGCACACACACAGCGAAUCAUUACAAUCAAAGUCAACGGGUAAUGCUCCUGUAUGUUCGCGACUAUAUUAAUUUAUGAUAAUUUUAUUGUUCAAUUAGAUAAUAAUAUAUCUUUUCAAAAAAAAUUAGAUAACAAUAUUGUUAAAGUUACAGCUACAGCUAUUGAUGCAAGUGUUGUUGAUAAUUUUUGGAGGUAUUUUGUUAAAGUCAUUUAGAUUUUGUUGUAUUUUGUUGAAAUCAAGAGGUAGGUGAACUACCUUGCUUUUAGGUAGGUUUGGUGAACAACCUUCCUUGACUUAUGGAAGGUUGGUGAACAAACUUUAGACUAGCUCUACUAUAAAUGUUUACAUUAUGCUGUAAUGGAAUUAACAAGAAAUUAAUUGUUUCUUCACACUCACAAAAUCUGCAGCUUUUUCUUUUUCUGCAGAAUUUCCUUCUCUUCCUUAAUUUUCUGCUCUUCUAAACCAACAAGUCACCAACCUUCCAUGGAAAAACCAAGCAUAUCAAAAUCAAGUAUCAUGCAAUUCGUGAAGCUGAAAAGGAAAAUGAAAUUCAGAUUAUUCAUUGCAAUUCUCUUUUUCUCAAAUGGCUUCCAGCAGCAUGUCUCUUUCACCACCUCAUUUUAAUGGGGAAAACUAUCAUGUUUGGGCUGUGAAGAUGAGAGCUUAUUUCAAGGGGCUUGCAUUAUGGCAGUAUGUGGAGGAAAACAGAGUACCUCCACCUCUUAAUCAAAAUCCAACCCUUCAGCAGAUUAGACAACAUGAAGAAGAGGUUGCUAAGGCUCCAAAAGCUCUGUCCUAUAUCCAUGCAGCUGUUGCAGAUCCUAUCUUCACCAAGAUUAUGACAUGUGAGACAGCACAUGAAGCUUGGGAGAAGUUAAAAAUUGAGUAUCAUGGAUCUGAAAAAACUAGACAGAUGCAGAUAUUCAAUUUAAGAAAAGAAUUUGAAAUGUUGAAAAUGAAGGAAAAUGAAAAGGUGAAAGAUUAUGUUGAUAGAGUUAUGAAAAUUGUAAACCAAAUUCGAUUGUUGGGAGAAGAGUUAGAAGAGAAGAGAAUUGUGGAGAAAGUUAUGGUGACUCUCCCUGAAAAAUUUGAAGCCAAGAUUUCUUCUCUUGAAGAAACUUGGGACAUGUCACAAAUAUCCUUGAAUGUGCUUUCAAAUGCUCUACAAGCUGUAGAACAAAGAAAAGCCUAUAGGGAAGAAGAAACCAUUGGAGAGAAGGCUCUUGUUGUGACUCAUAAAACAAAAAUGCAAGAAGGAGGUUCAAGAGGCCAGCAAACUGACAGAAAACCAAAAAUGAAGAAGAAUUUCAGAAAAAAUUGGAGGAAGGACAGAUUUCCACCUUGUCCACAUUGCAAAAAAACAAACCACACUGAGAACUACUGCUGGUUCAGACCUGGAGCUCAAUGUAAGGUGUGUAAGCAAUUUGGUCACACCGAGAAAGUUUGUUCUACAAACCAGAAUCAGCAAACACAAGCCCAUCAUCAUGCACAAGUCACCGAAAAUUCUGAAAAGUAUGAAGAACAACUAUUUGCAGUAAAUGAAAUUGAAAAAUGUGGUGUCUCAAUUGAAGCUAAAGAAGCAUGGCUUGUUGAUAGUGGCUGCACUAACCACAUGACACCAAACUUGGUGAAUUUCGAUAGCUUGGAUACAACCUAUUCUUCAAAAGUCAGACUUGGAGAUGGUAGGCUUGUUGAUGUCAAAGGCAAAGGAGAUGUGAUUGUACAAACUCCUUCAGGUACAAAGCUUGUUUCCGAUGUUCUUUACGUACCGGAACUAAAUCAAAGCUUGUUUUCGGUUGGUCAAUUGCUGGAUAAGAAUUACAGUUUGCUAUUUAAAGAUAAAACUUGUGAAAUAAGUGAUCCUUCUGGCUCAAAGUUAUUUGCUGUCAAAAUGAAACGGAGAAGCUUUCCUCUAAAUUUAAGAGACUUCAAAGAAGAAUCUUGCUUGAGUCAUAAAGAAGAAUCUGAUUUGUGGCAUAAGAGACUUGGUCACACCAAUCUCAAUUCAUUAAAAUUGCUACAAUCCAAGAAGUUAGUUGCUGAUUUGCCAUCUGUAGUUGAAGACAGCAGUAUAUGUGAAAUAUGUCAGUUAGGCAAACUCAGCCAAACACCAUUUCCAUCUGAUCAAGCAUGGAGAGCUUCUAUGAAACUUGAAUUAAUACACACUGAUGUGUGUGGCCCUAUGAGUGUCUCAUCUUACAAUGGCAGCAAGUAUUUUCUAUUGUUUAUUGAUGACUACACCAGAUUCUGCUGGGUAUAUUUCCUCCAAUUCAAAUCUGAAGUUUUCAAAAUGUUCUUGAAGUUUAAAUCAAUGGUAGAGAAUCAAGCUGGCUCCCCAAUCAAGAUUUUAAGAUCUGAUAAUGGGGCUGAAUUUACAUCCAAUCAAUUCAAGCAAUAUUUGCAAGAAGCUGGCAUUCACCAUCAAUUAACAGUAGCUUACACACCUCAACAAAAUGGUGUAAGUGAAAGAAAGAAUCGAUCUGUGAUGAAUAUGGCGAGAUGUCUCUUGUUUGAGAAAAAUCUACCCAAAGUUCUUUGGGCUGAAGCUGUAAACACUGCUGUAUAUCUUCAAAAUCGGCUUCCAACCAAAGCUAUUGAUGGAAAAACUCCUUUCGAAAGCUGGUUUGGAGUUACACCAUCGGUUGGUCAUCUCAAAAUCUUUGGAAGCAUAUGUUAUUCAUUUAUUCCAAAUGCAAAAAGAGGGAAAUUGGAUCAAUGAGCUGAAAAAGGAAUUUUAGUAGGCUAUAGCAGUGAAUCCAAAGCCUACAGAAUUUUGAAUCAUGUUACUAAACAGGUGUAUGUCAACAGGAGUGUCAAAUUCGAUGAGAAAGGUGAAUGGGAUUGGAGUAAAAUGGAACCAGAAAAUUCUAAAUCAAUUCUUGAUUUUCAGCAAGAGCAAGAACUUCCAGUUGACAAUGAAGAAGAAUCAAAUGAAGAUGAUUAUGCAAUUAGAGGAACUAGAUCCCUAGAGGAAAUUUACAGCAGAUGUAAUGUUGUCUCACUUGAACCAACUCAGGUGGAUGAAGCCUUAAAAUUGCCUGAGUGGAGAGCUGCCAUGGAGGAGGAGUUGAAGAUGAUUAUGAAGAACGAAACAUGGAUUUUAGUUCCUAGACCAUUGAAUAAGCAUGUAAUUGGAACUAAAUGGGUAUUCAAAUUGAAAUUAAAUUCUGAUGGCUCCAUCAAUAAGCACAAAGCAAGAUAUGUUGUUAAAGGCUACGCUCAACAGCAAGGGGUUGAUUUUACAGAAACCUUUGCACCAGUUGCAAGAUUUGACACUAUCAGAUUGAUUUUGGCACUAGCAGCAAGUGAAGGUUGGCAAGUCUUUCAAUUGGAUGUGAAAUCAGCUUUCUUAAAUGGUUCUUUGAAGGAAGAAGUGUAUAUUGAGCAGCCUGAAGGUUUUAAUGAUGGAAGCAAUAGAGUGUGUUUGUUGAAGAAAGCACUCUAUGGUUUAAAACAGGCCCCAAGGGCCUGGUAUGCCAAGAUUGAUCAUUACUUACUGAAUUUGGGUUUUAAACGAAGCUUGAAUGAGGCAACACUUUACGUAACUCAACAAGGAAGUGAUGUGCUUAUCGUUUCUGUGUAUGUUGACGAUCUACUUGUCACAGGUAACAAUUUACAAUUAAUUCAAGAAUUCAGAUUGAAGAUGCAGCAGGUUUUUGAGAUGAAUGAUCUUGGCUUAAUGUGCUAUUUCCUUGGGAUUGAAAUUGCUCAAGAUGAGCAAGGGAUUUUUAUUUCACAAAAGAAAUUUGCUUGGGAGCUGCUUAAAAGGUUUGAACUUAGCAAAUGCAAACCAGUGAGUACACCUACAGCCCAUGGAAUAAAAUUGCAAAAGGAUGAUGGUUCUCACUCUAUAGAUGCUUCAACUUAUAGGAGCAUGGUUGGUUCUUUGCUGUAUUUAUCUGUAACAAGACCAGAUAUCAUGUUUGCAACAAAUUUACUGUCGAGAUUCAUGAAUUCUCCAACUGAAAACCAUCUUACAGCAGCCAAACGAGUUCUGAGAUAUGUGCGAGGAACUGCUGAAUUUGGUUUGUUUUAUAGAAGAUUAAAUGGUGUGAAGUUGUUGGGGUUCUCAGACAGUGAUUGGGCUGGUUCAUUGGACGAUAUGAAGAGCACUACUGGUUUUUGUUUUUCACUUGGUUCUGCUGUCAUUUGCUGGGGAACAAGAAAGCAAGCUUCAGUUGCUCAAUCAACUGCAGAAGCAGAGUAUGUUGCAGCAUCUGCUGCUGUAAACCAAGCUAUAUGGUUGAGAAAGGUAUUAGUUGAUCUGAAUUUUCAGCAAGAAAAUCCAACUAAAAUACUUUGUGACAACAAAUCAGCUGUUGCUAUGGUUAAAAAUCCAAUCUUCCAUGGAAAAACCAAGCAUAUCAAAAUCAAGUAUCAUGCAAUUCGUGAAGCUGAAAAGGAAAAUGAAAUUCAGAUUAUUCAUUGCAAUUCUGAAGACCAAACAGCAGAUAUUUUCACCAAGGCAUUGCAAAAACCAAGAUUUGAAUUUCUUAGGAAUAGACUUGGUGUUUGUCUCAACUCUUGCAUCAAGGAGGAGUGUUAAAGUUACAGCUACAGCUAUUGAUGCAAGUGUUGUUGACAAUUUUUGGAGGUAUUUUGUUAAAGUCAUUUAGAUUUUGUUGUAUUUUGUUGAAAUCAAGAGGUAAGUGAACUACCUUCCUUGACUUAUGGAAGGUUGGUGAACAAACUUUAGACUAGCUCUACUAUAAAUGUUUACAUUAUGCUGUAAUGGAAUUAAUAAGAAAUUAAUUGUUUCUUCACACUCACAAAAUCUGCAGCUUUUUCUUUUUCUGCAGAAUUUCCUUCUCUUCCUUAAUUUUCUGCUCUUCUAAACCAACAAAUAUAUAUAGAAAUAUUAAUAUAUCUUUAUUGUAUAUAUUAAUCCAUAACACGCAUGCAAAUUGCAGAAAUUUUUUUUUUCUUACAACAAGUAUUAUUAAUUUAUAGCUCAACGGAGCUUCUGGUAAUGAACAUUCCAAUUCAAGGAUAAACCUGUACAACCCAAUUACCAACAGAUGAAGAAUUAUUAGAUGAAUCGAGAGGAAAGAAAAAUGGAUAGAGCUCAUAUCGGACAUAACAGUUACUGUAAAUAGCUCUGCAACCCUUUCUGUUGUUACAGAAGUUAGGGAAAUUACCGACGGCAAUGGCUAUACACUGAGCACAGUCUACAACAGCCAAGUCUCUUGUACAUUGCGCUAAUGCAUAAAGUGUAACCAAAGGUGUCAACUUUGUCUCCCCUUUACCAAUCCCUUUAUUCUUUUCCUUUACAGCUUCUGAUCUAAUUUCAUCAAUCAAAUUCCCCAAUUUUUGGUUAAAAGCUUCAGGGUCUA